This is a long non-coding RNA of Hemibagrus wyckioides, 248 nucleotides long. RefSeq lists it as uncharacterized. NCBI's taxonomy places the organism in Eukaryota, Metazoa, Chordata, Actinopteri, Siluriformes, Bagridae. The transcript has 3 exons. The record is from RefSeq and is a predicted model, not a curated record.
GCUGUGUUGUUUGGGGGGAGUGAUGUGCUGAUGCCCGUGUCCAACAGAAUAAAAAGCUCUUCAAGUCAUAUCGUCAUGUUGACGCUGUUGUGUGACGUCGGCCAUCGGCAACCUGUAGACACGGAGCAUCACAGCUGACUAGAAAACCCUGUGGAUUACAAUAUUAGGGCAAAUAAUCCCUUAUGGAAAAGUGCAAAGGGAUUUACAGAACCUCUGAGCAAAGCAGCAAAAUAACUGGAGACAUGAUG